GGCUGGAGCAUGAGGAACUACUUAAAGUUGUUUGCAGUAACUUCCAUUCAAAACUGGAACUAUCACACAGCUGCUGCACGUGUCACAGAACGGAGAUUUAUUUGAGCUUCAGUGAUCUGCAGAAUGCGCCAAAGACCUCGCGGAGUGGGAAUACAGUGUCUCUUCCUCAGGCUGUUAUUGGCAAACAGUGUCUCCCAGCUGGGGCAUAUUGGUCCGCAGGCACUAUAUGGUGACGUGUUGAGCAUGAGGGCCAGCAUCUCCACCACAGAGAGAGGGAGGAAAAGGGAAACGUCAAAGAGAUUCAUCAAGGGCCUUUUGAAAGGUCAAGGAGCAGAGCACUAAUAUGUGGAAAGGGCUUGGGGUUGAUGCAAGUUCUGUCCAACACAAGCUCAUAUUUCGGGGAGGGGGCGAGACGGAGUUUAUCCUGGUCAAGAAGAAGCGGACCGGUCAGAGUGCUAGAGGAGAUGCCCCCCAUUCAGCAAGGGGACAGUCAUACCAACUGUGCCACUAUCAGCUUUCAGGGGGACCUCCACCACAGCCCAGUAAGGACUCGUAACACUACCAUUAUUUCUAGUUUUCCAGAUGAUCUGGACUCCAUCAUCAUUCGAUCCCAAACAAGAAAUCUACAUAAUCUAUACAGCAAUGCAGGAUAAACGUCACCCUCCAUGCUGCAUUCCCAAUUGCCCGGAUGUCUUGGAAAUCCAGUUCUCCAUUCUCUAGCUCCCUCCAUGUUUUCUCUUUCUCCAUCCCCCCUGCUGAAUUCUGCUUGCCAUGCUCCACGGCUGUAGUCGAAUACUGAGAGGGCAUCCUUGACACCACGGAGAAGGGGUGUGCAGAUGAUGAGAAUAACUGUACUGAAUCUGUCAUGACGAGUGCCAGGGAGAAUGUACCUGUGAUGCGAGAGAAAUUACGUGAUCAAACAGAGAUAGGGUGGAGGGUACCAUGCAUUAAAACUACAUUUCUCUACUUC
Long non-coding RNA from Paramormyrops kingsleyae, 970 nucleotides. RefSeq lists it as uncharacterized. NCBI's taxonomy places the organism in Eukaryota, Metazoa, Chordata, Actinopteri, Osteoglossiformes, Mormyridae. The record is from RefSeq and is a predicted model, not a curated record.